This 301-nucleotide ribosomal RNA is filed under the name uncultured bacterium. Its description in RNAcentral is "partial 16S ribosomal RNA". It matches the Rfam family "Bacterial small subunit ribosomal RNA", at positions 509 to 807 of the family's 1533-position model. The record is from RNAcentral.
CAGUCGCCACGGUAAUACGAGGGGGGCAAGCGUUGUUCGGAAUUAUUGGGCGUAAAGGGUGCGUAGGCGGUUUCGCAAGUCUUGUGUGAAAUCUAUGGGCUCAACCCAUAGUCUGCACAGGAAACUGCGAGGCUUGAGGAUGGGAGAGGUGAGUGGAAUUUCCGGUGCAGCGGUGAAAUGCGUAGAUAUCGGAAGGAACACCUGUGGCGAAAGCGGCUCACUGGACCAUUUCUGACGCUGAUGCACGAAAGCUAGGGGAGCAAACAGGAUUAGAUACACCAGUAGUCCCUGUCUCUUAUAC